Lathyrus oleraceus (garden pea) is the source of this 1588-nucleotide long non-coding RNA. RefSeq lists it as uncharacterized. The transcript is spliced from 8 exons. NCBI's taxonomy places the organism in Eukaryota, Viridiplantae, Streptophyta, Magnoliopsida, Fabales, Fabaceae. The record is from RefSeq and is a predicted model, not a curated record.
UUUCACACACUCUCCGUUAAAUCGCUCUUAGUUAGGAUUUUUUAAUUAGGGUUUCUGAAUCUAAGGUUUUUAAUUUAGGGUUUAUGAUGAUUGUUGUUGUUACAGGUGAUUAAAGGCUUUGGACCAGUUCUCUCACUCUACAGGUGAUUAGAGUUUGUGUUUUUUUUGCUUAUAUUGUUGUUGUUUCGAUGAAUCUCUUUGUUCUCUCUAACUCUCUAACUUAAAAACUUGAUUUGUGCAUAAUAUUUGAUUACUUUGGGUUGAUCUUUGGAAACUGGAAUGUGACUUUUGCUACCCCUGCAUGAACCGUGAUUUUUGGAACUUAGUUGCAGGUGAUAUUUCAGUUCUCAUAUCAGUGGCUAGUCUUGCCUUGGCAAAUUAAACAAAUAAGAUGGAUCAACGUCAAAGUAGCACGGAAAGAGUCUUAGAGCAAGAGCAAUGCAAUUGAAGCUCUACUAAAUGCCUUGAAUGAUGAGACUCAGAGAUUACAAGAACAAGUAUAUUUUGGACAAAUAAAAUCUCACACUGAUCAAUGGAUGAUUUGAAGCCCGUGACACAUCUUUUUGCCGUUGACAUCACUUUAGCGAGUGGGAUUAAGUUACUUCGCCAAGGCUUUAAUUAUCUGGUUAAUACUGAUUUGCAUUUCUUUUAAAUAUUCUUCUAUCUUUUAUCCUGAUGACUGUCAUUGGUUGGGUGCAACUCUCGUAUGGUUGGGCUUGUUCAGCUAUUGCUAAAAUCUAAUGCCUCAAACAGCUUGAUAGAAGAUUAUGCAGCCUGCCUUGAGGCACGGUCAGAAGAAUCUCAGAAUGUUGAAAAUAAUAAUAACAAUGAUGAUCCGAGCAUUCUUAUUCUGCAACUUCUAAUUGACAACAUCAGCAGGCCAGCUCCAAAUAUCACUCACUUACUACUUAAAUUUGAUCUAGAUACACCUGUAGAGCGGACAAUUUUACAGCCUAAAUUUUAUUACAGUUGCAUGAAGGUUAUUCUUGAUAUUCUGGAGAAGCUUUUGAAGCCAGAUGUAAAUGCAUUACUUCAUGAAUUUAGUUUUCAGGUCAACUGUAGUUGAUCUGUUGGGUAACAUAUCUAAAGUAGUUGUUAAAUUUCAGAGAAUUCAUAACUAAGUUUUAUUUGGAAUAUUCUGUUUUUCAUUGAUUUCAUUGGGAAUCACCACUGUAUUUAGGAAUCUAAUCCUGGGCAUAGUGCACAGGUUAGGAAAAACAGAAUCUAGAUCAUUCCUCUAACUAACUCUAGUCCUGUGCCGCAGUGCACAAGUUAGAUCUAACAGAAUCUAGAACCUUCCUAGAAUUGACUGUAAUCCUGUGCACUAUACACAGGUUUGAUCUAACAAUACAACCCUUGGGUCUGAAUCUGGUGUCAAUGCUAUCUUUACUAAUGGAAUGGUUACUUGUCCUAUUGACGAGGGCACAUUUUUGAGUGCUGAUCUGCAUCUUCUUGAAUCGAUAGAGCUUAAAAAGAGGACGAAGCAUAUUGUGGAAAUUAUUAAACAGUCAUUAAACACGUAGUUGCUGAUAGUUCAAUGUCUAUGUAUUAUUUUCUGCUUUCCAUUUCACUCAUCUUUCCUCUAAGU